RNAcentral lists this ribosomal RNA (217 nucleotides) under uncultured bacterium. RNAcentral's name for it is "partial 16S ribosomal RNA". It matches the Rfam family "Bacterial small subunit ribosomal RNA", at positions 1284 to 1500 of the family's 1533-position model. The record is from RNAcentral.
AGUCCCAGUUCGGAUUGUAGUCUGCAACUCGACUACAUGAAGCUGGAAUCGCUAGUAAUCGCGGAUCAGCAUGCCGCGGUGAAUACGUUCCCGGGCCUUGUACACACCGCCCGUCACACCAUGAGAGCCGGGAACACCCGAAGUCCGUAGUCUAACCGCAAGGAGGACGCGGCCGAAGGUGGGUUUGGUAAUUGGGGUGAAGUCGUAACAAGGUAGC